RNAcentral lists this long non-coding RNA (992 nucleotides) under Sorghum bicolor (sorghum). Its description in RNAcentral is "long non-coding RNA (SBIC_LNC017709)". The record is from RNAcentral. Lineage: Eukaryota; Viridiplantae; Streptophyta; Magnoliopsida; Poales; Poaceae.
AAGGCCCUAAUAAUUAGCGCUCUCAUAUAUGGACGCCGCCUGACCUGUCAGGCCCUUGAGCUUGCCUCUUCCUUUCUAGGGAAGGGUUGAGCAAGGGAGGUCAGCGCUUCAACGACUCCCGACAUGACGAUUGCAAGGACGUACAGGCGUGCGUAUUUGCGGACCAAUACCGAGCGAUAUAUAGGGGUUCAGCCAAGGAAGUGCACACGCCAUCAUCGCCAAGUGCGCUAUAACAAGAAUGGUCAAGGCAACACUGGUACGAAAGCCUCCAGUUGACUCGCGACAUACCUGUAACACCCAAAAAUCUAUUUUAAAUAAAUAGGGAUUAAUUUGAUUUAAUUAAGGAUUUUUGUGCGCAUUCAAAUUUAGCACUUAAAUAUUUUUUGGUCAAAAUUAAAAUUUACCAUAAGAUUAGAAACUUAUUUAUGCAUUCAUGUUGAAGAAUGUUUUAUUUUGUAUUGUUUGCCUCUGGCUUGAAUUUAUUUGAAUUUAAAAUCCUAUUUAGAAAAGGCUUUGGAAAAUAAAAUGGAAAAGAAAACAGAAAAGAAAAAAAAUAAAAGAAAAAGAAAAGGGGAAACCCCUUGGAAAACCAGCCGAAGCCCAGCUCCCCUCUCCCCCUUCACUCGGCCCAGCGAACGGCCCAGCUGCUCCCCCGUGCGCCUGGCCUCACCUCCCUCUUCUUUCUUUGACCGACAACUGGGGCCCACACGUCAGCGCGUUACUUCUUCUUCGUUUCGGAACCACGCCGUACGAUCCCGGGAACCCGGAAUUCCCUUGCAAACGUGCGCACUAAGCCCCCAAUAAAGCCAUUGAGCCGCCCUAUGGACCCCUUUUCGCAUCUAAGUCGCCGAAUCCACGCCUAGGUCACCUCACCGGCGAUUUUGAAUCACGCCGAGUUGCGGUGACGGGUCUCCAUCGUCGCGAGCUCUUCCCGUCCCAUUCUAGCCCAAGAAAACCGCCUACUCGAGUUCGGGGUAAGCUCCUCUCUCCCC